Molecule: long non-coding RNA, 2344 nt
Filed under: Scleropages formosus (Asian bonytongue)
Lineage: Eukaryota; Metazoa; Chordata; Actinopteri; Osteoglossiformes; Osteoglossidae
Description: lncRNA (ENSSFOG00015026249.1)
Source: RNAcentral
AGAAAAUGUACCCAAUAUUAUGUGUAUUUAUUUGUCUGAUUUUAGGUAGGGGGUAUGGUAAAGUUUUCUAUUGUAAUUUAGAAGUAUUUUAUGUUUUUUUGGAAGAUGCGUGUAUGUGAUGCGAUGAGUCAGAUUAGGCUGCUGUUGGGGGACAGUCCUUUCAUGGGUAUGUUGGUGUGGGGAAGACGUAGGUGUAUAGAAUAAAGUGAGCAAUUCGCAACAUCACAGGUGUCUGGGUCGGCUGGAAUAUUCGGAGAGCAGCUUUCCCUCCGGAGAAGAGCCGCCAGACUGGUCUUGUUGUGCCCCAGGCGGGCGUGGAAACACCCAGAAGAAUCACAAACAAGAAACACACGCAUACCACAGGUGAGGAGAGGAGAGGAGAGGGCAGGGCUCAGGGAUACGCCCACAGGGGGCAGGGAGGGCUGGAGGGAGGUGGAGACAGCGGGACGCGAAAUGUGUUUGGAAACAGCCUGAAGUCGCGGAGGCUUCGGCUGUGUGGACAGUGAUGGAUGGCGUGUUGGAGACGGCGGUGGCUCUGGGACUGUGCAAGGUGGCCUGUAGUCUCCUGUUCCUGCCCGCUGUCAAGACUUCUCCCAGCGCCGUCAGCCUUUGCUGCAGCGCCCUGCUGCUGUUCACUGACCUCGCGGUAACAGCGUUCCUGGCCCUCCUCUGGCUGCUUGGCUUCUGGCUGCCCCCGCUAACCUCAUCCAGCGACGCCAUUGCCCUGCGCUUCCUGCUCUUCCUCGGCCACACCUACGGCGAGGUGCUGCUGCUGACGAUUCCGUUCGUCGCCGUGGAGACGGCGUGCAGACUGCAGUGGCCCCUGUCAGGUGGAAGAGAGGCAGGCUGCGUGGCGCUGCAAGGGCGAAACAGAGCCACGGGAAGCUGGAGAGGCUGUGAAGAGACGGAGAGACUGCAGGGCGCCUGCACUCACGAUGGACAAAACCCGGGUCGCGGCGGAUGUGGAGCAUGGGACGGGGAGAUGGACGCGGUGCACUGGCAGCGGGAAGGGCAGAGAGAGUCCUUGCUGCACAUCUCUGGGUUCCUUUGCUGUCUGCUCAUCUGGGUGCUGUGCAGUCUGUGCAGCGGUCCUCACUGGGGCCCAGAGGUUCAGUGCACGGAGGCUUGUUUGCUGGCGUCUGGUUCGCUCUCCGCCUGCCUCCCGAACCUCCCUGCGGUGACCCUUCCGGCAGUGAGGGAUCCCUCGGUGACACUCUUCUCCCUGGCUCUCUUAGUGGCCAUGGCGCUGGUCCUCAGGGGCCUUAGGAAGGGCCCGAGUCACUCUAAGCCAUGCCUUCCAGGCCUCGAAGUAGGGAAGAGCAAAUGUGCCCAGAAGGAGGAAUUACAACCGGCCACAUUACACACAUCCCCCGGGACAGCAGUGGUCACGUUAGUGGUUUUGUGCCGGACGCCAGCGGCGAGCGCCGAGGAGACGCCGCACGGGCACCGCUGCCACGGACACGACAUCUGCCACCCCGUCUUGCCCACAUGUGCAGAAUCCCCCGAUGACCACAGCAGUCUCUUCAUCCACCCGCACUCGGGACCCUUGACACGCACGUGCUCCGAGUGCACCGUCCUUCGAUACGUAGCUCGAGCGCUGGACACGUGCUGCCCACGCGCUGCCUCUGCCCCCCACCAAACACCCGACGGCGAGCGACACGCAAAGCACCUCCAAAGGAGGCAGUAUAUUUCCUACUGGGAAGGAAGGCUGAUAACAGCACUCAUGUGUGGUGUCACACUGUGUUUCUUCCCUCCGGCCCUGAGUGUAAACACACUAUUGAUCUGGAGUGUGGAGGGACUGCUUGAAUGGGUCUUGAGGCAUCUACUGUCUAGGUGCGGUGAGGGAAUUGUCGAAAACGAGGUGUAACUCGCCGGAGAGAGACAAAAACGUGAGUCCUACUGUCAACGCUACAGACAGAGGGGAAGAUGGGUUGUAAUGCGUCUUACUGUCAUCAUCAUCAUCACACUGGGAGAGAAGGGGGAGCUUAAAGGGUCUUAUUGUCUUCACAUUCACACCGACUCUCUCUUACACUCUCAGAAUGAUGGGAAGAAGGUUCAACCCCUUCGGUGAUCCCGCGUCUCUGAGUUGUAUGUUCUUCAACGGGUAACGCAGUAACGCAGUGUUUCGCUGCCCACGUUUGACAAAACACAGUAUGUACAUUAGGAAGGGACAAAAAAGAAUGGAAAAUGACAAUAUGGGCAGCGGAAGGAGGCAGAUGUCGAGGGCGUGAGGUGCCAACAGACGACUAACGUUCAAUGACAGCGAUGAUGCAGCUGCUCCAUCUGCAAUUAUCUGCGUAACAAAAGAGCCGGAGCUCAGACUCCACAGUUAUUUGUCUAUGAC